This 1512-nucleotide ribosomal RNA is filed under the name Serratia marcescens. RNAcentral's name for it is "partial 23S ribosomal RNA". It matches the Rfam family "Bacterial large subunit ribosomal RNA", at positions 718 to 2207 of the family's 2925-position model. Lineage: Bacteria; Pseudomonadati; Pseudomonadota; Gammaproteobacteria; Enterobacterales; Yersiniaceae. The record is from RNAcentral.
AAACCCGGUGAUCUAGCCAUGGGCAGGUUGAAGGUUGGGUAACACUAACUGGAGGACCGAACCGACUAAUGUUGAAAAAUUAGCGGAUGACUUGUGGCUGGGGGUGAAAGGCCAAUCAAACCGGGAGAUAGCUGGUUCUCCCCGAAAGCUAUUUAGGUAGCGCCUCGUGAACUCAUCUUCGGGGGUAGAGCACUGUUUCGGCUAGGGGGCCAUCCCGGCUUACCAAACCGAUGCAAACUCCGAAUACCGAAGAAUGUUAUCACGGGAGACACACGGCGGGUGCUAACGUCCGUCGUGAAGAGGGAAACAACCCAGACCGCCAGCUAAGGUCCCAAAGUCAUGGUUAAGUGGGAAACGAUGUGGGAAGGCACAGACAGCCAGGAUGUUGGCUUAGAAGCAGCCAUCAUUUAAAGAAAGCGUAAUAGCUCACUGGUCGAGUCGGCCUGCGCGGAAGAUGUAACGGGGCUAAACCAUGCACCGAAGCUGCGGCAGCGACGCUUAGGCGUUGUUGGGUAGGGGAGCGUUCUGUAAGCCGUUGAAGGUGGCCUGUGAGGGUUGCUGGAGGUAUCAGAAGUGCGAAUGCUGACAUAAGUAACGAUAAAGCGGGUGAAAAGCCCGCUCGCCGGAAGACCAAGGGUUCCUGUCCAACGUUAAUCGGGGCAGGGUGAGUCGACCCCUAAGGCGAGGCUGAAAAGCGUAGUCGAUGGGAAACAGGUUAAUAUUCCUGUACUUGGUGUUACUGCGAAGGGGGGACGGAGAAGGCUAGGCUGGCCGGGCGACGGUUGUCCCGGUUUAAGCGUGUAGGGGGUGUGACCUGGUAAAUCCGGUUGCAUAUCAACCCUGAGGCGUGAUGACGAUGCACUACGGUGCAGAAGUAGUUGAUGCCCUGCUUCCAGGAAAAUCCUCUAAGCUCCAGGUAACAUUAAAUCGUACCCCAAACCGACACAGGUGGUCAGGUAGAGAAUACCAAGGCGCUUGAGAGAACUCGGGUGAAGGAACUAGGCAAAAUGGUGCCGUAACUUCGGGAGAAGGCACGCUGGCAUGUAGGUGAAGUCCCUUGCGGAUGGAGCUGAAGCCAGUCGAAGAUACCAGCUGGCUGCAACUGUUUAAUAAAAACACAGCACUGUGCAAACACGAAAGUGGACGUAUACGGUGUGACGCCUGCCCGGUGCUGGAAGGUUAAUUGAUGGGGUCAGCCGCAAGGCGAAGCUCUUGAUCGAAGCCCCAGUAAACGGCGGCCGUAACUAUAACGGUCCUAAGGUAGCGAAAUUCCUUGUCGGGUAAGUUCCGACCUGCACGAAUGGCGUAAUGAUGGCCAGGCUGUCUCCACCCGAGACUCAGUGAAAUUGAACUCGCUGUGAAGAUGCAGUGUACCCGCGGCAAGACGGAAAGACCCCGUGAACCUUUACUAUAGCUUGACACUGAACAUUGAGCCUUGAUGUGUAGGAUAGGUGGGAGGCUUUGAAGCGUGGACGCCAGUCUGCGUGGAGCCAUCCUUGAAAUACCACCCUU